This 54-nucleotide transfer RNA is filed under the name uncultured Thalassiosira. RNAcentral's name for it is "partial Selenocysteine transfer RNA". Lineage: Eukaryota; Bacillariophyta; Thalassiosirophyceae; Thalassiosirales; Thalassiosiraceae. The record is from RNAcentral.
AUCCUGCCUGAUGGCAGAGGCAGGCUUCAAAUCUGUACAUAGGGGCUUCGCGGC